CUAAGCACUAAAAUCUUUGGAUUAAAACUUAAAGAGCAUGGCGGCCAUCAAAAACUUCAGGGGAACUUACCAGAUAAUAGAUAAUCCGCAAGAUAUAUUACUUAACCUAACGUUUGUAUACCGCCGUUUUCAGGUCCCGCUUAGGGUGGUGCCGAAAAGCUUUAAGCAAAAAGACAGGUCAUGGUGCAGCCUAUGGUUAAGACAUAAGGUGAGUUACAAUAAAAACUUUGUUCAAAUUGAGAACUAAACUAUUUCAUGAAGCUGGACUUGAAAGUAACUCUUACGAACGAAAUAUAGAUUGAAUUUACUUUUUGUGGUGC
This 320-nucleotide ribosomal RNA is filed under the name Onchidium stuxbergi. RNAcentral describes it as "partial 12S ribosomal RNA". The record is from RNAcentral. Lineage: Eukaryota; Metazoa; Mollusca; Gastropoda; Systellommatophora; Onchidiidae.